CAGUUGAUCAAGUGUAGUUACAGGGUGAGGCUUGCCUCUUGCACUCCAGACCAGCUGACCCCUGCAAGAUUCCCCAAAUGCAGGAAACUCUAGCACACAAUUUUGUGGCAAUGGGGGACUGCAUUCUCAUUUUCCCCAU
Crocodylus porosus (Australian saltwater crocodile) is the source of this 139-nucleotide small nuclear RNA. Its record names the gene U1. It matches the Rfam family "U1 spliceosomal RNA". Rfam says of the family: U1 is a small nuclear RNA (snRNA) component of the spliceosome (involved in pre-mRNA splicing). NCBI's taxonomy places the organism in Eukaryota, Metazoa, Chordata, Crocodylia, Crocodylidae. The record is from Ensembl.